RNAcentral lists this long non-coding RNA (1844 nucleotides) under Homo sapiens (human). RNAcentral describes it as "HSALNT0206539". The record is from RNAcentral. Lineage: Eukaryota; Metazoa; Chordata; Mammalia; Primates; Hominidae.
CCUCCCAAGGAUUAUGGUGACGAGGAAACAUGCUCAUGAAACAUUGUUAAAUUCCAGUUGGAGACCAAAAUGGCCUUCACAAGGCGUUCCUUUCCCGUCCUAUCUAUGCAGCAGAGGCCGACUGGCAGGAUCACCACAGUGUUGCUUCUGCACAUUCCAUCACUGUCCACGCGUGAGAGCCAUGACACAGGACUUGGUCCGAGGUCAAGUGUAAAUCCCAGCUGUGGAGGCUCCUCCAAGAGGUAAAAUUGUGGUAACUUCAAGGUGGCUUGAGUGCUUCAUUCUCUUGGAUUGAGAACAUCUGCAGUUGGGACACAGGUAGAAAAGCACCUGGCUUCUCGCCUUUCUAGACCUAAGCCAGGCAGGCAGUUUGGGAGCUCCCUACUCUUCCUAGUGGGUGAGGCAAACAGGAAGCCUGGAAACAAAUUUCAGACGCUGAACUUUUCCCUCCACACCAAAGAGGCUACAUAACAAAUACCGUUCUGGUGUAGAUCUAAAGAACCCAUUGAUCAACUUAAAUUCUUCAGUGGAGUGGUAUGUAAUGUGAUUUCUGAAAGUGAGAAAACUUCCAUAUAUUGUGAAUAUAUUUAAAGUCAAUAAACAUGUUAAUUCAUAAAAGUGAACCCUUACCUGUAAUUGUGGUCAAUUGAAAUGCAAAUAAUUAAAUCAUAGAUUAAAUAACAAUUUUAAUCAUGUCUUUUAAAAACAGGAACAGAAAAAGUAUAUGAAUAAAAGACUUGUUUAUUAUUCGAUGGGCACAUAGCCAAGAAAUCUGAAAAGAUGGGAAGUAACGGGGCCAUAGCAUGGAGUACACAUGAGGCACUUAGAUGGCAUUCCUUGAUUGUUCAUCACCUUGGUCAUUAAAGGAAUUAAGCACAUUAAUUCCUUAAUUAAUUAAUAAUGAAAGAAAACAAUCGAGGAAAAGUUUGAGAUCAGUCUAUUCCUGGACUGGAAAUAGAUGACUAGAUGUACAUUAGAAUUGAUGAUUCCAGGAACACUUAGAAUUGUGAAAAAUAUAGAGUACCUGCCCUCAAAGAAGCAAGCAACUUAGGAUGGAAAAAAUGAAUGUACAUAAGUCAUAUGAAGGAAAGAAGGGAAUCAGCAGCCAGGGAAGUGUCCUUGGAGCUGCGUCUGAUAAUAGCUGUGCUACGAUUAAUUAUAUAAAAAAUAAUAAUUCAAACUGGAACACUGUCAUUGCUGCACUUAUGUAUUCAAAAUGCAGCCAUAGUACUGCCAUUUACACUUGUGUCCUUUAUUGAGUUGGUGUGAAAACUCUACCGCAAAUCAACUGUGAGACAGCAGUGCAGCCAUUAUGUCCUUAUUUUACAGAUAAAGACGUUCAAGACCAUAGGAGAAUAGCACCUGUGUUAGAUAAUUCUAGAGAACACCAUUCAUAUCGUAGCCACCAAGUGACUUACUUAAGAUAGCAACUCUGGGUAAUAAUAGGGCUAAAUCUUGGCAAAGCUUCAGUGUGAGAAUAUGGGCAUUGGAGUCAGAUGGGCAUUUAUAAGCUGAAUAAACUUGGUCCUCAUGUUUGUCAUCAUUAUCAUCAUUUAUUUUCUUUGUGCCUCAGUUUCCUAAUCAGCAAAAUGGAAUAACAGUAAUUGUUUCACACAUUUGUUGGGAGGAUUAAUGAGGUAUGUAUGCAAAGCACUUAGCACAAAGUAUGUAUUUAAUAAAUAGUUCCAGUUACAUAAAUAAUAUUAUUUAGAACCCAUGAAUUUGGAUUUCUAGAUGAGAACUCCUGAUACAUUAUGCUUCUCAUGCUUUUAACAUCUAAUAAUUCCAUAUAGACAUAUCUGUUAAACAGAUAUGUGUGAAAAUAAGCAGACACACUCUUUCAC